This 1033-nucleotide long non-coding RNA is filed under the name Sparus aurata (gilthead seabream). RNAcentral's name for it is "lncRNA (ENSSAUG00010022292.1)". Lineage: Eukaryota; Metazoa; Chordata; Actinopteri; Spariformes; Sparidae. The record is from RNAcentral.
CCUCCAGAACGCCUUCGUCUUCAUCGCCGGCUUCCAGAGCACCUUCGCCUUCGUCGCCGGCCUCCAGAACGCCUACGCCUUCGUCUUCAUCGCCGGCCUCUAGAGCGCCUUCGACUUCGUCGCCGGCCUCCAGAGCGCCUUCGCCUUCGACUUCGUCGCCGGCCUCCAGAACGCCUACGCCUUCGUCGCCGGCCUCUAGGGGGUCCCAGUCCACGUCCCCGGCCUCUAGGGGGUCCCAGUCCACGUCCCCGGCCUCUAGGGGGUCCCAGUCCACGUCCCCGGCCUCUAGAGGGUCCCAGUCCAUGUCCCCGGCCUCCAGUGGGUUCCAGUCCUUGCCUCCAUCCUCCUGUUUGUUUGGACCUUGGCCCUCCUCCAGACCCCCUCCACCCUCCCAGGCUCACUUGGACUUAUGUUUUGAGGGACAUCUUGAAGCUGUCCCUUGAGGGGGGGGUACUGUCAUGACUGUAGAUCUGUCUGUUGUGUUCUUGUCUGGUUUUGUCUUGUGUUUUCUUGUAUUUGAUUUCCAUGUCUCUGUAUCUUGUCUUGUGUCUUGUUUUUCCCAUGCCCUCAUGUGUCCUUUAAGUUCUCCUGUGUUUUUCCUAUGUUCCCUCUGGCUCCCUCUGUCCAUUGCCCUGGUCCCUUCAUGUUCUCAUGUGCUCCUCCCCUUCGUUAUCUCACCUGUUGGUCCACCUCACCUGUUCCUCGUCUUGUCAUCAGUGUUUGUGUACUUAGUCUGUGUGUUUCCCUUCACUCCCUGUCUGGUCAUUGUUCUUGUCAGCGUCCGUCCGUCCAUGCUCCAUGCUCCAUGCUCCAUGCUCCAUGCUCCUGUGCUCCUGUGCUCCUGUCUGUCCCUUGUUCCCCCGUCUCUGGCUUGUUACUUUUUCAACAACCGCAGAUGACGACACUACUAAGACAUAACUUCCUAGAGAGGGAAAAUCUACCGCGGAGAGAAAGCACCGUGAGUUACAGGUUAUGUUCGAGAGAAAACUUGCAGCAGCGACAUGGAGGAAAAAAGUGAACCAGGGAACGACAA